CCUCCAGCUGGACGGGGCUCUGGCUCCUGUUCUGCUCAGCGUCAGGUUGAGGAGACACAGGUGGGUCUAGGGGGUCACCAUCCUCUGACUGUUUCCUUUUGCCUUUGACAGGAGGUGCUGGAAGGAGAGGAAGAGGGAGAGAAGGGGGGAGGAGGGAGAGAACGUGAGAUGCUGGCAGGGAGGAGCGGGCGGCAGGAGGGCCAGCCCUCUGCCCACAACUUCGAAGGAAACCCUAAAUCACCUUGGGGUCAAGUGACAGGAGACCGGCACUGGGGCCGUGGUGCUCGGGGAAAUCAUGUCUCCAAAACCUGCCCCACAUUCAGGCAGAAAGUUUGGGAAAGCUGCAGAGGCUUCCAUGAUUGUGGACCCCCAAAGCACCACGGGGGGCUGCUUGGACCAUAAACCCUCCAGAAAUAAUCAAGAAGAGGGUCUCACCUGACAAGUCGCUUCCUCGGGGUGGCCCUUCCCAGCCCCCAGCCAAGCACAGCACUUCUCUCUAGUCAUCCUCUAGCCAUCCUCACACCAUCCAGAUGGGCCAUCCAGACUGAGAUGCCCACGGCUUGUCUGGCCUCCUGAGAGCUUCGUAAGGCCGCCCAGCAACCCACAAAGUAGGUGGCAGAACUGUCCUGGUUCGCUCCAACUCAAGAAAUCCUUACUGCUGGGAACGUGCAAGAGUCCCCCUCCAACCCAGACAGAGAAAGAAUCUCCUUAAGAACAAGAAACCUGCGCCAGAGUGACCCACAAGGUGCUGGGUGAGUCCUCCUGCCUCCCAGAAACCCAGCUGCCGCUGAGUGACCGCUGCUGCCAUGAGCCACUGAGUUCCUGUCUUGCCCCGAGCUUAUGGGUGUAUAGAUCCCCUCUGAGCACAAAGCCUCAGAUGCCCUGUUGUAAUGGAGGUGGAUUCAGUUACAAAAAGAAAACCUCUGCUCUCCAAAGGCAUGCCCUUCAGACAUCGCCUUUUCCAUCCAGGAAGCAAUAAUGACAAUGAUGGUUAUUAUUUAUCUGUUUACUUUAAUCUAUCUGGAAUCUGUAAGGUAUGAGGGGCUUCCCUGGUGGCACAGUGGUUAAGAAUCUGCCUGCCAAUGCAGGGGACAAGGGUUCGAGCCCUGGUCCGGGAAGAUCCCACAUGCCGCAGAGCAACUAAGCCCGUGAGCCACGACUACUGAGCCCUAGUGCCACAACUACUGAAGCCCGCGCGCCUAGAGUCUGUGCUCAACAAGAGAAGCCACCGCCAUGAGAAGCCCACGCACCGCAACGAAGAGGAGCCCCCAUUCGCUGCAACUAGAGAAAACCCGCGUGCAGAAAUGAAGACCCAACACAGCCAAAAAUAAAUAAAUUUAUAAGGUACGAGAUAGGGGUUUAAUCAUACUUCCCCAUGGGUGGGUGGUUCCAGUAUUGACUGAGUGAUCUCCUCCCCCAAUAAUCUGAAAUGCUACUUUUCCCACAAUCUGCAGGCUUGUAAGGAACACUUUGGGGGCUGGUUUUGGACUUUCUCUUCUGCUUGAUUCACUGUGGAAUGCUGGACCCAUGCACAGUUUUAAUUUCUGUAGCCUUGUAACACAACGUGCUAUUCAGAGCAUAAGUCCCCCAUCAUUACU
Molecule: long non-coding RNA, 1598 nt
Organism: Lagenorhynchus albirostris (white-beaked dolphin)
Lineage: Eukaryota; Metazoa; Chordata; Mammalia; Artiodactyla; Delphinidae
Exons: 5
Source: RefSeq, a predicted model, not a curated record